AACCAUAGAAACCUGCGGAGUACCUGCGGAGGGAUCAUUAUAGUAUAUGGAAUCUCCAUUCUAUAAACCCACUCUGCGUAUCUUGUAACUGUUGCUUCCAUGGGACUUGGUUCCGCCACACCGGCUUCACGGCUGGUGAGCGCCCAUGGAAGGAGAAACAAAACUCUUCUUCGAAAUGUAGUCAGUCUGAACAAGUUUUUAUAAACGUUAAAACUUUUAGCAAUGGAUCUCAGAUCGGAA
This 240-nucleotide unclassified non-coding RNA is filed under the name soil metagenome. Its description in RNAcentral is "partial contains 5.8S ribosomal RNA, internal transcribed spacer 2, and large subunit ribosomal RNA". The record is from RNAcentral.